RNAcentral lists this ribosomal RNA (253 nucleotides) under uncultured bacterium. RNAcentral's name for it is "partial 16S ribosomal RNA". It matches the Rfam family "Bacterial small subunit ribosomal RNA", at positions 524 to 776 of the family's 1533-position model. The record is from RNAcentral.
UACGGGGGGGGCAAGCGUUGUUCGGAAUUACUGGGCGUAAAGGGCUCGUAGGCGGCCAACUAAGUCAGACGUGAAAUCCCCAGGCUCAACCUGGGAACUGCGUCCGAUACUGGCAGGCUUGAAUUCGGGAGAGGGAUGUGGAAUUCCAGGUGUAGCGGUGAAAUGCGUAGAUAUCUGGAGGAACACCGGUGGCGAAGGCGGCAUCCUGGACCGAUAUUGACGCUGAUGCGCGAAAGCCAGGGGAGCAAACGGG